Molecule: unclassified non-coding RNA, 158 nt
Filed under: uncultured Penicillium
Lineage: Eukaryota; Fungi; Ascomycota; Eurotiomycetes; Eurotiales; Aspergillaceae
Description: sequence contains ITS2
Source: RNAcentral
CUGCCCUCAAGCCCGGCUUGUGUGUUGGGCCGCGUCCCCCCGGGGACGGGCCCGAAAGGCAGCGGCGGCACCGUGUCCGGUCCUCGAGCGUAUGGGGCUUUGUCACCCGCUCUUGUAGGCCCGGCCGGCGCCCGCCGACCCCCAACCAUUUUUUCUCA